GUUGGUGUAGCUCAGUGGUAGUGUGCAUGCUUUGUGUGUAUGAUGUCCUGGGUUCAAUCCCCAGCUUCUCA
Molecule: transfer RNA, 71 nt
Filed under: Dallia pectoralis (Alaska blackfish)
Lineage: Eukaryota; Metazoa; Chordata; Actinopteri; Esociformes; Umbridae
Description: tRNA-Thr
Rfam family: tRNA
About the family: Transfer RNA (tRNA) molecules are approximately 80 nucleotides in length.
Source: RNAcentral